CUAUCCUUUACUUUAGAAAAAAAAAAGUGUCUUGUCUUUGCCCACGAUAACUCUCAUUGGAGAGAUCCGACUUUCUUCAGACAUUUUCCCUCUGAUUAUGAAGUGUGUAUGCCAAUGACUAGGCCUCUACGGCUCUACCUACACAAAUGGAUGGAUCAAUAGCCAUUGUACCAAUGGAUUUGAUGUUUGUCAACUUUCUGGGUCUACACUUCCUGUGGUGAACCUUCUCAAGAAUUGCAUUAUUUGCCCACCCAGGUUCAGAUAUUGACCAGAGCCUAGCCUGACAAUGGACAUGGCCCUACAGCGGAUAAAACAAUAGGAGUGGAAAUCGGUGGCUGUCACGCUAGCAGCGUAUCUCCCUGCCUGAGUUGCUGCUGCCUUGUACACAGGAUGUUUGGGUGACUGUGCGGGGGCCAAGUUUAUCAGACUAAAAAAAAACUGGGCCUGCUGGAGGAACCAUCCAUCGCUGCUGCUACUACGCCUCUUUCAAAAGUUCAAAGGUCAUGGUUCAACCAAGUGUAGAAGGGGAAUGUAUGAAACAGAUAGAUGGUGCCAUGCUUGUAAUAUGAAUCAUCAUCAGCAUCAUCUUCAUCAUCAUCAUCAUCAUUGACAGCAUCACCUCCACCGACACCAUCAUCAACAUCAAGCCCAGUUUUGUUUUCCAGUACUUCCUAUUGUUUUGUCUUUAAUGAAUGGGAGGAAGAUGCAAAGAUGCUAGCUGGAUUCCUAGUCAAAGAUUCUGCUCUUGACUAUCAAGAAGGAAAUCGUAUUAUUCCCAGAUCUAAGAUUUCGAAGCGGCAUGAUUGCUUAAUAGUUCAUCAAGCAGUGUGGUAAGUGCC
This is a long non-coding RNA of Lytechinus variegatus (green sea urchin), 839 nucleotides long. RefSeq lists it as uncharacterized. NCBI's taxonomy places the organism in Eukaryota, Metazoa, Echinodermata, Echinoidea, Temnopleuroida, Toxopneustidae. The record is from RefSeq and is a predicted model, not a curated record. The transcript is spliced from 6 exons.